Molecule: ribosomal RNA, 452 nt
Filed under: Sordariomycetes sp. genotype 7
Lineage: Eukaryota; Fungi; Ascomycota; Sordariomycetes
Description: eukaryotic LSU rRNA
Rfam family: Eukaryotic large subunit ribosomal RNA
Source: RNAcentral
UCGGCCCGAGUUGUAAUUUGUAGAGGAUGCUUUUGGUGAGGUGCCUUCUGAGUUCCCUGGAACGGGACGCCAGAGAGGGUGAGAGCCCCGUAUAGUCGGCCACCGAUCCUUUGUAAAGCUCCUUCGACGAGUCGAGUAGUUUGGGAAUGCUGCUCAAAAUGGGAGGUAUAUCUCUUCUAAAGCUAAAUAUAGGCCAGAGACCGAUAGCGCACAAGUAGAGUGAUCGAAAGAUGAAAAGCACUUUGAAAAGAGGGUUAAAUAGCACGUGAAAUUGUUGAAAGGGAAGCGCUUGUGACCAGACUUGUGCCGGGCUGAUCAUCCAGUGUUCUCACUGGUGCACUCGACCCGGCUCAGGCCAGCGUCGGUUUUCGUGGGGGGAUAAAAGCUUCGGGAACGUGGCACCUUCGGGUGUGUUAUAGCCCGUUGCUUAAUACCUCCGUGGAGACCGAGGU